AGCCCUUGUAAUAAUCAAAGGUGCAACCUGCCCAAUGAUUUUUAAGCUAAUAAAAAUAACAUUUUUAUAAAAAAAUUUAAAGGACGCAGUAUCUUGACUGUGGUAAUGUAGCAUAAUCACUCGCCAUUUAAUUGAUGGAUAGUAUGAAUGGUUAAACGAAUAUCACACUGUCUUUAAUAAAAAACUCAUGAAAUUAAAAUAAUAGUUAAGAUGCUAUUUAAAACUGUAAGACGAAAAGACCCUAUAGAGCUUAACUACAUUUUCUUUUAAGAAAUAGAAAUAAAAAAUUCUUCUCAUAAAGAAAAAGGUAGUUUAGUUGGGGCGACUAUCUUCUAUAAAUAACGAAGACAAGCAAUGUUAAUAAUAAAUUUAUUGUAUAAUACAUCAAUUUAACAAUUAUGAAAAUAGGCUAUAAUGACCCAUUAAGAUUAAGUAAUAAACUUAAUGAUCAAUAAAUAAAAGCUACCUUAGGGAUAACAGGAUAAUUUUGUUUUAGAGAUCAAAUCGAAAACAAAGUUUGUCACCUCUAUGUUGAAUUAAGAUAUCCUGAUAGUGCAGAAGCCAUCAAAGGUAGGUCUGUUCGACCUUUAAAAUCUUA
This 598-nucleotide ribosomal RNA is filed under the name Leuckartiara octona. RNAcentral's name for it is "partial 16S ribosomal RNA". It matches the Rfam family "Bacterial large subunit ribosomal RNA", at positions 1832 to 2598 of the family's 2925-position model. The record is from RNAcentral. Lineage: Eukaryota; Metazoa; Cnidaria; Hydrozoa; Anthoathecata; Pandeidae.